This 521-nucleotide long non-coding RNA is filed under the name Ananas comosus (pineapple). Its description in RNAcentral is "long non-coding RNA (ACOM_LNC016416)". The record is from RNAcentral. Lineage: Eukaryota; Viridiplantae; Streptophyta; Magnoliopsida; Poales; Bromeliaceae.
GGGAAAAGAGAAAGUGAGACAUCUGAAAAGAAUUAGAGGAGAGAGAAAGGAUAAAGAAGAGAGAGAGAAGAGAGGGAAAACCUGCCACACGAAAGAGAAGAGAGAAAGAAGAGAGGAGAUGAGAGGUGAGAGCUCGCCACAUGGAGUGGGCGAAGGAAAAAAUGCAACAUGUAUUGAUGAAGCUAUCAAAAUAUAUAUUGUAUUGCCCGUCGAAGCCGGUUUCGAAUCUCCACACAAAAAAGGAAUUUUGCUGAGAGAGAAAGAAAGGGGUUUGGGCAAUGAUUUGAUUGUUUAGACGCUAGAAAAAGAAGAGAGAGAAGAAUUUAGAGAUAGAAAGAUUUAAAGAGAGGAGGAUCUAGGAAGAGAAAGAUCUAGAAAGGGGGAAAAUAGAAAGAGAGACAUCUGAAGAAAGUUAAAGGACAGAGAAAGAAGAGGGAAGAGAGAGAUGAGAGAAGAGAGAAGAGAAAGAUGAGAGGAGGGUACAGGUGAAAGCCCACCACGUGGAGAGGGUGAAAAGAAAA